UUUGGCGGCGUGCCUAAUACAUGCAAGUCAGGAGAGGGGGGCUUUCGGGGAACUGGAGAGUGGCGCACGGGUGAGUAACACGUAACUGAUCUGCCCUUUAGAAGGGGUCCUUUGGAAACAGAGGCUAAUACCGGAUGUUCUGACGGUAGUUAGAGAGCCGUGAGUAAAGGUUUAGGCGCUAAGGGAGAGGUUGCGAACCAUCAGCUAGUUGGUGAGGUAAAGGCUUACCAAGGCGAUGACGGUUAGGUGACUUGAGAGGGUGGCCCCCCACACUGGGACUGAAACACG
Molecule: ribosomal RNA, 288 nt
Filed under: uncultured bacterium
Lineage: Bacteria
Description: partial 16S ribosomal RNA
Rfam family: Bacterial small subunit ribosomal RNA
Source: RNAcentral